GCGGAUUUAGCUCAGUUGGGAGAGCGUCAGACUGAAGUAAUCUGAAGGUCCUGUGUUCGAUCCACAGAAUUCGCA
RNAcentral lists this transfer RNA (75 nucleotides) under Debaryomyces hansenii CBS767. RNAcentral describes it as "tRNA Phe (GAA) cove". It matches the Rfam family "tRNA". From Rfam's summary of the family: Transfer RNA (tRNA) molecules are approximately 80 nucleotides in length. RNAcentral also lists the same sequence under 1 other name. Lineage: Eukaryota; Fungi; Ascomycota; Pichiomycetes; Serinales; Debaryomycetaceae. The record is from RNAcentral.